Molecule: ribosomal RNA, 440 nt
Filed under: uncultured bacterium
Lineage: Bacteria
Description: partial 16S ribosomal RNA
Rfam family: Bacterial small subunit ribosomal RNA
Source: RNAcentral
CCUACGGGAGGCAGCAGUGGGGAAUAUUGCACAAUGGGGGAAACCCUGAUGCAGCGACGCCGCGUGAGUGAAGAAGUAAUUCGUUAUGUAAAGCUCUAUCAGCAGGGAAGAAAAUGACGGUACCUGAGUAAGAAGCCCCGUCUAACUACGUGCCAGAGGCCGCGGUAAUACGUAGGGGGCAAGCGUUAUCCGGAUUUACUGGGUGGAAAGGGAGCGUAGACGGCAGUGCAAGUCUGGAGUGAAAGGCGGGGGCUCAACCCCCGGACUGCUCUGGAAACUGUACGGCUGGAGUGCAGGAGAGGUAAGUGGAAUUCCUAGUGGAGCGGUGAAAUGCGUAGAUAUUAGGAGGAACACCAGUGGCGAAGGCGGCUUACUGGACUGUAACUGACGUUGAGGCUCGAAAGCGUGGGGAGCAAACAGGAUUAGAUACCCUGGUAGUC